GGUUAAGCACUUAAGGUGUGGAGCCGUAGCGAAAGCGAGUUUUAACUGAGCGUUCAGUUACUUGACGUAGACCCGAAACCGGGCGACCUACCCAUGAGCAGGAUGAAGCGAAAGUAAAAUUUCGUGGAGGUCCGAACCCACGAGCGUUGAAAAGCUCGGGGAUGACUUGUGGGUAGCGGUGAAAUUCCAAUCGAGCCCGGAGAUAGCUGGUUCUCCCCGAAAUAGCUUUAGGGCUAGCCUCAAGGUGAGAGAUACGGAGGUAGAGCACUGAAUGUCCUAGGGGGUAUUGCACCUACCGAAGACUAUCAAACUCCGAAUGCCGUCAUCUUAUACUUGGGAGUCAGACUGUGGGUGAUAAGAUUCAUAGUCGAAAGGGCAACAGCCCAGAUCGUCAGCUAAGGUCCCUAAAUGUAAGUUAAGUGGUAAAGGAUGUGGGAUUGCACAGACAACCAGGAUGUUGGCUUAGAAGCAGCCACUCAUUCAAAGAGUGCGUAAUAGCUCACUGGUCGAGUGAUCCUGCGCCGAAGAUUUCCGGGGCUAAAACUUACUACCGAAGCUACGGCAUCAGUAAUGAUGGGUAGGGGAGCUU
RNAcentral lists this ribosomal RNA (589 nucleotides) under Clostridioides difficile. Its description in RNAcentral is "partial 23S ribosomal RNA". It matches the Rfam family "Bacterial large subunit ribosomal RNA", at positions 644 to 1239 of the family's 2925-position model. Lineage: Bacteria; Bacillati; Bacillota; Clostridia; Peptostreptococcales; Peptostreptococcaceae. The record is from RNAcentral.